Molecule: ribosomal RNA, 497 nt
Filed under: uncultured bacterium
Lineage: Bacteria
Description: partial 16S ribosomal RNA
Rfam family: Bacterial small subunit ribosomal RNA
Source: RNAcentral
GAUGAACGCUGGCGGCGUGCCUAAUACAUGCAAGUCGAGCGAACGGACGAGAAGCUUGCUUCUCUGAUGUUAGCGGCGCACGGGUGAGUAACACGUGGAUAACCUACCUAUAAGACUGGGAUAACUUCGGGAAACCGGAGCUAAUACCGGAUAAUAUUUUGAACCGCAUGGUUCAAAAGUGAAAGACGGCCUUGCUGUCACUUAUAGAUGGAUCCGCGCUGCAUUAGCUAGUUGGUAAGGUAACGGCUUACCAAGGCGACGAUGCAUAGCCGACCUGAGAGGGUGAUCGGCCACACUGGAACUGAGACACGGUCCAGACUCCUACGGGAGGCAGCAGUAGGGAAUCUUCCGCAAUGGGCGAAAGCCUGACGGAGCAACGCCGCGUGAGUGAUGAAGGUCUUCGGAUCGUAAAACUCUGUUAUUAGGGAAGAACAUAUGUGUAAGUAACUGUGCACAUCUUGACGGUACCUAAUCAGAAAGCCACGGCUAACUACGUG